GAUGAACGCUGGCGGCGUGCCUAAUACAUACAAGUAGAACGCUGAAGGAGGAGCUUGCUCUUCUGGAUGAGUUGCGAACGGGUGAGUAACGCGUAGGUAACCUGCCUGGUAGCGGGGGAUAACUAUUGGAAACGAUAGCUAAUACCGCAUGACAACAGUUAUUGCAUGAUAACUGUUUAAAAGGGGCAACUGCUCCACUACCAGAUGGACCUGCGUUGUAUUAGCUAGUUGGUGAGGUAACGGCUCACCAAGGCGACGAUACAUAGCCGACCUGAGAGGGUGAUCGGCCACACUGGGACUGAGACACGGCCCAGACUCCUACGGGAGGCAGCAGUAGGGAAUCUUCGGCAAUGGACGGAAGUCUGACCGAGCAACGCCGCGUGAGUGAAGAAGGUUUUCGGAUCGUAAAGCUCUGUUGUAAGAGAAGAACGAGUGUGAGAGUGGAAAGUUCACACUGUGGCGGUAUCUUACCAGAAAGGGACGGCUAACUACGUG
This 495-nucleotide ribosomal RNA is filed under the name uncultured bacterium. Its description in RNAcentral is "partial 16S ribosomal RNA". It matches the Rfam family "Bacterial small subunit ribosomal RNA", at positions 28 to 507 of the family's 1533-position model. The record is from RNAcentral.